RNAcentral lists this ribosomal RNA (484 nucleotides) under uncultured bacterium. RNAcentral describes it as "partial 16S ribosomal RNA". It matches the Rfam family "Bacterial small subunit ribosomal RNA", at positions 30 to 507 of the family's 1533-position model. The record is from RNAcentral.
AUUGAACGCUGGCGGCAGGCCUAACACAUGCAAGUCGAGCGGAUGAAGGGUGCUUGCUCCUGGAUUCAGCGGCGGACGGGUGUGUAAUGCCUAGGAAUCUGCCUGGUAGUGGUGGAUAACGUCCGGAAACGGGCGCUAAUACCGCAUACGUCCUUAUGGUGAAAGUUGUGGAUCUUCGGACCUCUCUCUAUCAGAUGAGCCUAGGUCGGAGUAGCUAGUUGGUGGGGUAAAGGCCUACCAAGGCGACGAUCCGUAACUGGUCUGAGAGGAUGAUCAGUCACACUGGAACUGAGACACGGUACAGACUACUACGGGAGGCAGCAGUGGGGAAUAUUGGACAAUGGGCGAAAGCCUGAUCCAGCCAUGCCGCGUGUGUGAAGAAGGUCUUCGGAUUGUAAAGCACUUUAAGUUGGGAGGAAGGGCAGUAAGUUAAUACCUUGCUGUUUUGACGUUACCAACAGAAUAAGCACCGGCUAACUUCGUG